Molecule: ribosomal RNA, 468 nt
Filed under: uncultured bacterium
Lineage: Bacteria
Description: partial 16S ribosomal RNA
Rfam family: Bacterial small subunit ribosomal RNA
Source: RNAcentral
GACGAACGCUGGCGGCGUGCUUAACACAUGCAAGUCGAACGGAAAGGCCCUGCUUUUGUGGGGUGCUCGAGUGGCGAACGGGUGAGUAACACGUGAGUAACCUGCCCUUGACUUUGGGAUAACUUCAGGAAACUGGGGCUAAUACCGGAUAGGAGCUCCUGCUGCAUGGUGGGGGUUGGAAAGUGUCGGCGGUUGGGGAUGGACUCGCGGCUUAUCAGCUUGUUGGUGGGGUAGUGGCUUACCAAGGCUUUGACGGGUAGCCGGCCUGAGAGGGUGACCGGCCACCUUGGGACUGAGAUACGGCCCAGACUCCUACGGGAGGCAGCAGUGGGGAAUAUUGCACAAUGGGCGGAAGCCUGAUGCAGCAACGCCGCGUGCGGGAUGACGGCCUUCGGGUUGUAAACCGCUUUCGCCUGUGACGAAGCGUGAGUGACGGUAAUGGGUAAAGAAGCACCGGCUAACUACGUG